GAUGAACGCUGGCGGCGUGCCUAAUACAUGCAAGUCGAGCGAACAGACGAGGAGCUUGCUCCUCUGACGUUAGCGGCGGACGGGUGAGUAAAACGUGGAAAACCUACCUAUAAGACUGGGAUAACUUCGGGAAACCGGAGCUAAUACCGGAUAAUAUAUUGAACCGCAUGGUUCAAUAGUGAAAGACGGUUUUGCUGUCACUUAUAGAGGGAUCCGCGCCGCAUUAGCUAGUUGGUAAGGUAACGGCUUACCAAGGCAACGAUGCGUAGCCGCCCUGAGAGGGUGAUCGGCCACACUGGAACUGAGACACGGUCCAGACUCCUACGGGAGGCAGCAGUAGGGAAUCUUCCGCAAUGGGCGAAAGCCUGACGGAGCAACGCCGCGUGAGUGAUGAAGGUCUUCGGAUCGUAAAACUCUGUUAUUAGGGAAGAACAAAUGUGUAAGUAACUAUGCACGUCUUGACGGUACCUAAUCAGAAAGCCACGGCUAACUACGUG
This 497-nucleotide ribosomal RNA is filed under the name uncultured bacterium. Its description in RNAcentral is "partial 16S ribosomal RNA". It matches the Rfam family "Bacterial small subunit ribosomal RNA", at positions 28 to 507 of the family's 1533-position model. The record is from RNAcentral.